CAAAAAUAGAAAAAGUAUCCAAAGUGAUUAUAUUAUAGAUUUAUUAUAUUACAAAGACGGAAGAUUUCAUUUUCUUCAUGUGGAAAGGAGCUGAACAAGCCGUGGCUAAAGUUAGCCGCGCUAUGUGAGAGAAAUUCAAUGUCAAAUUAGCAAGAUGACAAAAAAAAAAAUUGGCUGGGUGGGAAAAAAAAGGUGUUGGAAGAAUUGAGCGCACAUGCCGCAUGGGACCAAGAAGCUCAAUUCCAACUUCCCGUGUGCAAUAUUGGACCGGAACGUUUGGCGAGGGCACGGCAUGAAAACGAUGGCUGAUUUUCCAAAGGCUUGUGGAGUUAAAAGUCCAUAUUGUUUGGAUUUACAGCAGAUGGUAAAAAAAGAAGAAGCGUUGAUAGCAUCGGGAAGUAGGUCACCAAAUCCUCAGGAGGAUGACAGGAAAAAGAGGGAGAAAAAGAGAAGCAGGUGGAAACGAUCGGAUGGGAGGAUAUCCGUCACAUGUGAUGGAUGAGAAGGCGAACAGGCGCAAAAAGGUUUGAGAUUUUUCUCGCAUUCCGGUUGGGUUGUUUGUCAGCAAUGACUCAGAUUAACAAGUCGAGGAACAAAUAAGAAGAGACAAAUUGGAUCCCGCUUCUCCUCACCCCCACCCCAGGAACUUGAAAGUGGAGGAAUCCUGUUCCACAGAAGGAUGGCAAAUGAGAUUUUUUUUUUUCAAGAGCAAAAUUCUACGUCAGCCUUAGCGUCGGCUUCCGGGGGAAAGAGUGACAUCAUGAAAAAGCCAUGUACUUUCCACCCGGCUGAGAGAUUCAAAUCUGAAUGAAAGUCCUACUAUGCAUAGUUGGAGACAAAAACGUGGGAUCUUCAUCUUAACUGGCAAUGCCAAAAGGACGCAUUGUGAUGGCAGAAAUGAGACACGGAAUCCUGCUACUCCUAAGAGUUCUGCGGGCAAUGGUAUCAGAAGAGGGACCCUCAUCUGAGAGGCCACCAGUCAGUCUUCACAAAGUAUCAAGAGUAUCUGUAGUAAACUUGGAUCUAUUGCCCCAAACGUCUGUGCAGUAAUUUAGACAUGCUGAUAUUUUGGGAGAAACAAUAUUGAUGCGCCACAUGCAAACGAUCAAUUUGGUCCUCCCUUCCGGCGACAAGACGCCGCCGCCGCGCAGGUGCGGACGUGCGGAUGAGACAUACGUCCCAGCACGGCACACUUGAUGAAGUCCAUAUGGACGCUGGUUGGUGUCUGGAGGAAAUCACUCGGCUGCCAAAUACUCAAGCUGCUUCACAGUCACUCUUCCUCCUCUUGCGCUUCUGCCCCCAUAAAGAAGACAACAUUCUGAAAACUUGAUUGAUUUUUCACUGUCAAAUGUUAGCCGUUACGGCAGCGCUUUGCUUCUUGUAAGAACGUAUGACAUUUGCGUGUGUCUGUGAUGAUGACAGAUAUGAAAUGAAGUGUGAAUGAGUGUAGGACGUUUUUAAAAAAUGAAAUUGGAUCACUUACAAUAGUUAUAGAAUAGCCUCGUUAUAUCAUGAUAA
Phyllopteryx taeniolatus (common seadragon) is the source of this 1518-nucleotide long non-coding RNA. RefSeq lists it as uncharacterized. The record is from RefSeq and is a predicted model, not a curated record. The transcript is spliced from 5 exons. Lineage: Eukaryota; Metazoa; Chordata; Actinopteri; Syngnathiformes; Syngnathidae.